GUGGAUUAGAUACCCUAGUAGUCCACGCCGUAAACGAUCGAUACUAAGUGUCGGGGGUCAAACCUCGGUGCUGGAGUCAACGCAAUAAGUAUCGCGCCUGAGUAGUACGUUCGCAAGAAUGAAACUCAAAGGAAUUGACGGGGGCCCGCACAAGCGGUGGAGCAUGUGGUUUAAUUCGAAGCAACGCGAAGAACCUUACCAGGUCUUGACAUCGAUCCAAAAGGGACGGAGACGUCCCCAUAGCUAUGGAGAAGACAGGUGGUGCACGGCCGUCGCCAGCU
RNAcentral lists this ribosomal RNA (281 nucleotides) under uncultured bacterium. RNAcentral's name for it is "partial 16S ribosomal RNA". It matches the Rfam family "Bacterial small subunit ribosomal RNA", at positions 773 to 1060 of the family's 1533-position model. The record is from RNAcentral.